CGCGUAGGCGGCUUUGUAAGUCACUUGUGAAAUCUCCGGGCUUAACUCGGAACGGCCAAGUGAUACUGCAAUGCUAGAGUGCAGAAGGGGCAAUCGGAAUUCUUGGUGUAGCGGUGAAAUGCGUAGAUAUCAAGAGGAACACCUGAGGUGAAGACGGGUUGCCGGGCUGACACUGACGCUGAUGCGCGAAAGCCAGGGGAGCAAACG
This 207-nucleotide ribosomal RNA is filed under the name uncultured bacterium. RNAcentral describes it as "partial 16S ribosomal RNA". It matches the Rfam family "Bacterial small subunit ribosomal RNA", at positions 568 to 774 of the family's 1533-position model. The record is from RNAcentral.